Molecule: long non-coding RNA, 1034 nt
Filed under: Phasianus colchicus (ring-necked pheasant)
Lineage: Eukaryota; Metazoa; Chordata; Aves; Galliformes; Phasianidae
Description: lncRNA (ENSPCLG00000021452.1)
Source: RNAcentral
GGCACACUCAGCACUGCUCAGCAGUCAUGCUAAGCUGAAAAAAUCUGGUGUAACUGUUCUGUACCCAAGCUUUGCCUGCACAAAAUGUUAUGCAAGAGCACAUCAUAAUGGAGACCAUUCUAUGUGCACAUAGAUUCUGAAAGACCCAUACUGGGACAGCAUAGGCACAUCUCCUCCUAUCCCUGUGUCCACUCGGAAACUGUGAACACUUGACCUCUGGGCUUUCUGCUUGUGGAAUGAGCAAUGCCAAUGAUAGGUGGUGCCAGUGGGAGAUGGAAGCACUGAGCAUCACCAGAAAGGCGAGCCUGUGACAGAUUUCAGCAUACCUUGGACUUGAGUCUGCAGGAAAAGGACCAUGUUUGUCCAGCCUCCAAAUCCAGAAGCCACCAUCUAAGUUAUGGGCUGGUUCAGUCUCCACGUGAGUUGGCAGGGAAGAGAUCUGUCUGCCUAUUCUGUCUUCACUUGAGAAACAAGCCAUGCAGUGCUUUAACCAGCAGAUGGCAACCGCAAACAGCCAGCCAGCAGAACGCUCAAGGGACGCGCACCGCAGGGUCACGUACAAAAAGCAGGCGCAGUACUGUGCUAUUGCAUCACCCUUGUGAUUACAUUUACUGUACUUCUGCAUUUUUUGCUGCUUUUCCACGAGGAAAAAAAAAAAAAAAAAAAUGAAAGAAUGCAGUAACAACUGGCCUCUCAGUGGGAAAAAAAAAAAAAAAAAAAAAGGCUUAUACAUCCCCAAGCAUGCACAACUGUUUGCACAUCUGAAGCUCUCUCUCACUGAUGUGUAUUUUUUGAGGACAGCUGAGCACACAGCUCAGCAGGGUAAAAGGUGCAGCAUGAUCUCAGACCAUUAGAGACCUGGCAAUCCACAGGAACAUGGCAGGUUCAUUCAGGUCUCACAAGUGAGACAUGAAUCUGAACUUCAGCAGCACACAUUGCUUUGGCUGCAUCCAGAACCAUUUGAUGCUCCCUGAUCCCCAGCCAUCAGGACAGGUUAAGGUUACACAAAUAAAUACCUGCUCAUCACAGAGGCA